AUUGAACGCUAGCGGGAUGCUUUACACAUGCAAGUCGAACGGCAGCGCGGACUUCGGUCUGGCGGCGAGUGGCGAACGGGUGAGUAAUGUAUCGGAACGUGCCCAGUAGCGGGGGAUAACUACGCGAAAGCGUAGCUAAUACCGCAUACGCCCUACGGGGGAAAGGGGGGGAUCGCAAGACCUCUCACUAUUGGAGCGGCCGAUAUCGGAUUAGCUAGUUGGUGAGGUAAAGGCUCACCAAGGCGACGAUCCGUAGCUGGUUUGAGAGGACGACCAGCCACACUGGGACUGAGACACGGCCCAGACUCCGACGGGAGGCAGCAGUGGGGAAUUUUGGACAAUGGGGGCAACCCUGUUCCAGCCAUCCCGCGUGUGCGAUGAAGGCCUUCGGGUUGUAAAGCACUGUUGGCAGGGAAGAAAAGUUUCGGGCUAAUACCCUGGAGCGAUGACGGUACCUGCAGAAUAAGCACCGGCUAACUACGUGCCAGCAGCCGCCGUAA
RNAcentral lists this ribosomal RNA (500 nucleotides) under uncultured bacterium. Its description in RNAcentral is "partial 16S ribosomal RNA". It matches the Rfam family "Bacterial small subunit ribosomal RNA", at positions 29 to 523 of the family's 1533-position model. The record is from RNAcentral.